GGCACGGUGGCCUACUGGUAAGGCCUUGGUCUUGAAAAUUACAGGUUCAAACCCUGUCUGUGCCU
RNAcentral lists this transfer RNA (65 nucleotides) under Lepisosteus oculatus (spotted gar). It matches the Rfam family "tRNA". Rfam says of the family: Transfer RNA (tRNA) molecules are approximately 80 nucleotides in length. Their secondary structure includes four short double-helical elements and three loops (D, anti-codon, and T loops). Further hydrogen bonds mediate the characteristic L-shaped molecular structure. tRNAs have two regions of fundamental functional importance: the anti-codon, which is responsible for specific mRNA codon recognition, and the 3' end, to which the tRNAs corresponding amino acid is attached (by aminoacyl-tRNA synthetases). tRNAs cope with the degeneracy of the genetic code in two manners: having more than one tRNA (with a specific anti-codon) for a particular amino acid; and 'wobble' base-pairing, i.e. permitting non-standard base-pairing at the 3rd anti-codon position. The record is from Rfam by way of RNAcentral. Lineage: Eukaryota; Metazoa; Chordata; Actinopteri; Semionotiformes; Lepisosteidae.